GCGAAACGGGAAGAGCCCAAACCACAGUGGCGUGCUGCUGUGGGGUUAUAGGACUGCAUUUAGAAUAGCGCAUCAAACUGAAUCAACUGGAAAGUUGAGCGAUAGAAGGUGAGAGCCCUGUAGGUAGAAAUUGCGUUGGACGAGCAGUAUCCUGAGUAAGGCGGGACCGGAGAAAUCCUGCCUGAAUUUGCCGGCACCAUCCGGUAAGGCUA
Molecule: ribosomal RNA, 212 nt
Filed under: Chloropicon mariensis
Lineage: Eukaryota; Viridiplantae; Chlorophyta; Chloropicophyceae; Chloropicales; Chloropicaceae
Description: partial Bacterial large subunit ribosomal RNA
Rfam family: Bacterial large subunit ribosomal RNA
Source: RNAcentral